Molecule: non-coding RNA, 1029 nt
Filed under: Pongo abelii (Sumatran orangutan)
Lineage: Eukaryota; Metazoa; Chordata; Mammalia; Primates; Hominidae
Source: RNAcentral
GAUGCUGACAAUUCAGAUCUGCCAAAGGAAAGCCAUAAAGUCCUUCCUUUAAGUGAAAAGGUGAAAGUUCUCGACUUAAUAAGGAAAGAAAAAAAUAACUUAAUGCUGAGGUCGCUAAGAUCUAUGGUAAGAAGGAAUCUUCUAUCUGUGAAAUGGUGAAGAAGGAAAAAGAAAUUUGUGCUAGUUUUGCUGCUACAAAAGUUACUGCCACAGUGCACGGCAGUGCCUCUCGAAUGUGAGAAGCUGCUGCUCCCCCAAAUUGCUGGGGAAGAAAGGGAGUUCCUGAUCUUUCUUAUUGAGGCUCAUGGAGCUUCUGUCCUGGAGAUUCAGUAUACUUCAGUAAUGGCUCUGGGGAACAGAACUCAGGAUCCUCAAGACCCAAUGGCUCUUGAUGAUAAAAGCCUCUGGGUCCACCGACAUUUUCCCUAUGUAAUCAAAGACAUGUCUGCACGCAUUUUUUGGCAUAUUUUUCCGUAAUCAAAGCAAGUUGCUAUGUGUUAGUACUAAAGCAAACCAUAAUAGUAAAAACGAAUUUCUGCACCAAGAGAAUGAAUCGGCAGCUGAGAAAGUCAGAGUGAAGAGGCCUCAGUAAUAUCUCUACCUCCUUGAAGGUUAAAUAUUCCUAAGACUCUAGGAGGAGAGAGGAGAGAAAGCUGGCCCUGUUCUUUCCUCCAGGAUGUAAGGUUUUUCCAGGCUACUUUGAAAAGUCUCAUUUACUCCAGGCUAUAGAAGAAUAAAAUCGGAGGUGAGUUCCCUGAAAUCAAGGACACUGCCUUAUCUAAUGGUGUUGGGAGUGCAGUGAACUUGCUGGGGACAGUUUGAAGGAUCCUCUUAAGCUCUGAAACCAGGUUGUUGCUGCCUGCUACAGACCACCCACAGCCAACGUCCUUGGCUGAGUGACACAGCUUCCCAGUGACCGCCACCGAUCCAGCCACCAAGUAUGCAGCCCAACCUAUGGAGCUGAGCCCAGAAGUGACUCAAAGAAACAAGCCACAACCCAGAACUGAAUCACAACAGCCUUUUCCGUUA